CCUACGGGGGGCUGCAGUAGGGAAUAUUGCUCAAUGGGGGAAACCCUGAAGCAGCAACGCCGCGUGGAGGAUGAAGGUUUUCGGAUUGUAAACUCCUUUUGUUAGAGAAGAUAAUGACGGUAUCUAACGAAUAAGCACCGGCUAACUCCGUGCCAGCAGCCGCGGUAAUACGGAGGGUGCAAGCGUUACUCGGAAUCACUGUGCGGAAAGAGCGCGUAGGCGGGAUAGCAAGUCAGAUGUGAAAUCCUAUGGCUUAACCAUAGAACUGCAUUUGAAACUGUUAAUCUAGAGUAUGGGAGAGGUAGGUGGAAUUCUUGGUGUAGGGGUAAAAUCCGUAGAGAUCAAGAGGAAUACUCAUUGCGAAGGCGACCUGCUAGAACAUAACUGACGCUGAUGCGCGAAAGCGUGGGGAGCAAACAGGAUUAGAUACCCGAGUAGUC
This 440-nucleotide ribosomal RNA is filed under the name uncultured bacterium. Its description in RNAcentral is "partial 16S ribosomal RNA". It matches the Rfam family "Bacterial small subunit ribosomal RNA", at positions 338 to 795 of the family's 1533-position model. The record is from RNAcentral.